RNAcentral lists this ribosomal RNA (441 nucleotides) under uncultured bacterium. Its description in RNAcentral is "partial 16S ribosomal RNA". It matches the Rfam family "Bacterial small subunit ribosomal RNA", at positions 339 to 795 of the family's 1533-position model. The record is from RNAcentral.
CUACGGGAUGCAGCAGUGGGGAAUAUUGGGCAAUGGGCGAAAGCCUGACCCAGCAACGCCGCGUGAUUGAAGAAGGCUUUCGGGUUGUAAAAAUCUGUCCUUGGGGACGAAGAAGUGACGGUACCCAAGGAGGAAGCCCCGGCUAACUACGUGCCAGCAGCCGCGGUAAUACGUAGGGGGCGAGCGUUGUCCGGAAUUACUGGGCGUAAAGGGUGCGCAGGCGGCGCUUUAAGUCAGAUGUGAAAUACCCAGGCUUAACCUGGGGGGUGCAUUUGAAACUGGAGCGCUUGAGUGCAGGAGAGGAAAGUGGAAUUCCUAGUGUAGCGGUGAAAUGCGUAGAUAUUAGGAGGAACACCAGUGGCGAAGGCGACUUUCUGGACUGUAACUGACGCUGAGGCACGAAAGCGUGGGGAGCAAACAGGAUUAGAUACCCGAGUAGUC